RNAcentral lists this ribosomal RNA (253 nucleotides) under uncultured bacterium. Its description in RNAcentral is "partial 16S ribosomal RNA". It matches the Rfam family "Bacterial small subunit ribosomal RNA", at positions 524 to 776 of the family's 1533-position model. The record is from RNAcentral.
UACGUAGGGUGCAAGCGUUACUCGGAAUUACUGGGCGUAAAGCGUGCGCAGGCGGUGAUGUAAGUCAGAUGUGAAAUCCCCGGGCUCAACCUGGGAACUGCAUCCGAGACUGCAUUGCUAGAGUAUGGGAGAGGGAAGCGGAAUUUCUGGUGUAGCAGUGAAAUGCGUAGAUAUCAGAAGGAACAUCAGUGGCGAAGGCGGCUUCCUGGACCAAUACUGACGAUCAGGUGCGAAAGCGUGGGGAGCAAACAGG